Molecule: long non-coding RNA, 1393 nt
Organism: Lagenorhynchus albirostris (white-beaked dolphin)
Lineage: Eukaryota; Metazoa; Chordata; Mammalia; Artiodactyla; Delphinidae
Exons: 5
Source: RefSeq, a predicted model, not a curated record
CGGCGGCGGCGGCGGCGGCCGAGACACAGGGCCUGUCCUACCGGGAGUGCUGCCACUAACGUCGGCAGGGGCCGCGGUGGGCUUGCAGAGGACUACCGGGCAACUCGGCCGUGAAAGUCCGGGUCCCGAACGGAGAAAAAGAGCGCGGGCCGCGGGGCGGAGCCUUUGUAGAGGUUAUCGCGGGAACAGCGACCCCUUCAGGAUCGCCGCGGGGCGCGCCGGGAGCUUGGCCAGUUCCGCCUCGGGGAGGGUCGUGUUCGUUGUCAGGUGCGCGCCGCUGGGCGGCUGAGGCGCUGCGGUUUGCAAUUAAGCCCCUGAGAACCAAGAGCAGAGGCAACCCAAAUCCCACCUUUUUGUUUUAAGUGAAAAUGUGGAAGUUGUAGCAUAAAAUUACAGUAUCUGUGAAAUUAGAACCAGCAGCUCCCUGUCAUCUUGUAGCACCCGCGCCCCGCUGGUCCCUGACGCCUGGAUGGCACUUGGCGAACGUUUGCAGUAUAGGGUCGAAUUUAAUGUCCCCACCGAGCCUGUUGUUCAUUCAUUCAGCAUUAUUGAGUAUCUGCCGUGUACCAGGAUUGAAUCAUGUGCUGGAGAUACCACGCUGAACAAGACUGUCCCUGCCCUCAGGAAGCUCUCAGUUCGGUUACUUGACAACCUUCAGAGACACCCUCUUCCCCCUGCUCCAAUUUUGUUUCUAUUUGCUGCCACAAGGAUUUUGUGACUGCCUAACGUGCUGGAUUACAAGAUCAACACUAGGUGCAUACUUGGUGCGAAAUACGGUGCCCAGGACACCAAGUGCCGGGUGGAGAACGUAUAAGAUGUUUCCUUUACACAAGUUGGAAAGAUGGAUACUCCCCAAAUUACAGCUCAAACCAUGUGACAGCUUGCUCAAGCAUCUUCAGUCUCCAUUGCCUACCAAUAUAAGGCAUUGAGAAUCCAAAGAGACUGAAAACUUUGCCUAGAUCACAUGGCUUCUUAUGACUGGUUGCCUGGCUCCCAUGCCCUCCUCAGUUUGCUGAAAGAAGAGAAUUCAGGUGAUCUGAUCACACAUGCAAAAAGCCAGCUCCAAAUUGUGGUCCAGAUCAUAUCAUAUACAAAUUUGAGACUACCAUCCAGAAGACCAAGACUCAAUCAACGUACCGUCAUGCUUCCAGACUUAUCAAGGACUAAACACACAAUUCUUUGUCUGAUCUGCAACAAUGAGAAGGUGGGCUUCGGUGGCUGUGUUGUCAUAGGAGUGGUUUUCUUAAAGUCCUCCGAACCUUGGAUCACUUCCCAUGUGCUUCGGAGAUUGCAUUUUUUGUUUUGCUCGUUUGGGGCUUCUUUAUUGUGGUUUUUUUCUGUACAGAAUUCAACCACCUGAAAUUGUCAAUAAAAUGAUAUAGAUAACAGUAAA